This 200-nucleotide ribosomal RNA is filed under the name uncultured bacterium. RNAcentral's name for it is "partial 16S ribosomal RNA". It matches the Rfam family "Bacterial small subunit ribosomal RNA", at positions 524 to 723 of the family's 1533-position model. The record is from RNAcentral.
UACGUAGGGGGCGAGCGUUAUCCGGAAUUACUGGGCGUAAAGCGCACGCAGGCGGUUCGCCAAGUUUGGAGUGACAGUUGUCGGCUCAACCGACAAAGGACUUCAAAAACUGGUGAACUUGAGGACGAGAGAGGAACAUGGAACUCCAGGUGUAGUAGUGAAAUGCGUAGAUAUCUGGAAGAACACCGAUGGCGAAGGCG